This is a long non-coding RNA of Hydractinia symbiolongicarpus, 389 nucleotides long. RefSeq lists it as uncharacterized. NCBI's taxonomy places the organism in Eukaryota, Metazoa, Cnidaria, Hydrozoa, Anthoathecata, Hydractiniidae. The record is from RefSeq and is a predicted model, not a curated record. The transcript has 4 exons.
UUGAAUAUUAUCACAUUAGUGAUUCUUGUAAUUUCAUGCAUGGGAAAUUCCCCAGCUAUAUUUCUCACAUAAAACAAAAUUUUAACUUUGACCGUCCAUAGAAUACAAAUAGUCAUCAUGGGAGCAGAACAGUCAACGCAGUCAUGCAACAAUGGCAAAAAUCAACAAACACAAAAUCAACAACCACGAUACCUUAAUCAACGUAUGCAGCAGCAGUGGAGACAGCAACAGCAAAACAGAAAUUUUACCAAUACGUCAGAGAAAGAAAUUAAUAAACCGCGAACUGCUCCAGUCAGAAUGGCACAACUUCAACGGUGGUGAAGAUUAUAUGUUUUAAAUACAAAUGUAUUUUAUGUAAUUCGUUUUUACAUCCUUUACUAUAUAUAACA